CCUAGAUAAGGAAAUGGCAACCCAUUCCAGCAUUCUUGUCUAGGAAAUCCCAUGGACAGAGGAGUCUGGCAGGCUAGAGUCCAUAGGGUCACAAAGAGUCAGACACAACUUAGCAACUAAACCACCACCACCACAACUUCUCUACCUCAGGAAGCAGAGCUCACUUACUCUGACAUCAAAGACUUUCUUUGGUGACUUGUAAAAUUGCAGGGUCUUAUUCCUGAGAUAACCAUCAUUAGCAAACACCGUGGAAGAGCAUUAAGGAUAAUGCCAUAGAACACUCUCGUUAAAAUGUGACCUUUUCAUUUUUGCUUCAAAUCUGUUUUAUUUGCUCAAUAACAACAACAAAAUAAUUAUGUAAAAAACAUUUUAAUUUUCAAAAUUUUAUAAUUCUUUUUAGAGGUCUUUAUCUACUCACCUGUGAAUAUGGCAUUUGAUCUUGGCAGCAGUCUGGGGCAAUAGGUAACUUGGUUAUUCCCAUUUUGCAGCUGAGCAUAUGAAAGCUGAAUACCUUCUCAAAUCCACACAGCUGAGACGGCACUGACCUGUGACUCUGCCUGAUGCCUUUCCAUUGCCUCAAGCUGGGGAAGCCGGGCCAUCAGAGUGUAUAAUUUUCCUUCUGUUCCAUCAAAUGAGAGGUGGCAGUUUAUCUGGUCCUCAUAGAAUUGCCGCUAUAAGCCAGAUGGAAGUAAUACAUCAAAAGGGAAAAAAGAGCCUUAUGUGACCCUAACUUGGUUCUCCGGGAAUGGCGUAACCUGGCCUCGAUCCCAAAAAGGUGAAAGAAAAUAUUUUUCAAAUUGCUAGUGGCUGUUCGCAUUUGAGGUCCAUUUAGUUCAGUUUUUUUUUUUUUUUUUUUUUUUAAGAAAAAUGAAUUGUGAUCCGUGUGUGUAAAGGGUGCCUGUCUCUGUGUGGUUCGUGUCCUGGUGUAUGUCCAGCUAUCUUGUCACACUGCCCUUGAGCUUUUCUUCAGUUGAGAACAGAUCUGGAAUGGUGCCCCUACAACGCCGAAGGAUAUGAGGCCUGCCCUUCACGGGACAGGGCGGGACUUCUAAGGGACACGGGUCAGAAGCG
This 1071-nucleotide long non-coding RNA is filed under the name Bos indicus x Bos taurus (hybrid cattle). Its description in RNAcentral is "lncRNA (ENSBIXG00005005892.1)". The record is from RNAcentral. Lineage: Eukaryota; Metazoa; Chordata; Mammalia; Artiodactyla; Bovidae.